This 367-nucleotide transfer-messenger RNA is filed under the name Candidatus Omnitrophota. RNAcentral's name for it is "JAFGQU01 sp016935525 Standard tmRNA". It matches the Rfam family "transfer-messenger RNA". From Rfam's summary of the family: Bacterial tmRNA, also known as 10Sa RNA or SsrA, is named for its dual tRNA and mRNA-like properties. Its role is to liberate the mRNA from a stalled ribosome. The record is from RNAcentral. Lineage: Bacteria; Pseudomonadati. RNAcentral also lists the same sequence under 1 other name.
GGGGGUGAUCGGUUUCGACUUAGAGAAGGAGGAAAGGGCUGCGUUGUCAGUGGGUUGGCCAACUGUAAGAGGCCUUCACAAUAUAAACGCAAACGCGUAUGUUACCGCUGAUGAAGCGGAACUCUGCUGCUUACCUGCGUAAGUAGCGCUCUCUCUAUCUUUGCCUCGGAGGUAAUAGAGGGCUCAUUUAGAGGCUAAGCAUGUACAUUCGUCUUUGGUGUACGUGACGAAAACCGCAGAAGACUGCUCUUUACCUGAUCCUGCCGGUUAGAGCUGGUAAAGAAAAGAUAAACAACCGGAUACGCAGCGUAGUAUGCUCUUUAGCAAUUCUUUGAGGACACGGGUUCAAUUCCCGUCACCUCCACCA